GUGGGGAAUAUUGCGCAAUGGGCGGAAGCCUGACGCAGCGACGCCGCGUGGGGGAUGACGGCCUUCGGGUUGUAAACCUCUUUCGCCAGGGACGAAGCGUGAGUGACGGUACCUGGAUAAGAAGCACCGGCCAACUACGUGCCAGCAGCCGCGGUAACACGUAGGGUGCGAGCGUUGUCCGGAAUUAUUGGGCGUAAAGAGCUCGUAGGCGGUCUGUCGCGUCGGUCGUGAAAACCUGCAGCUUAACUGUGGGCUUGCGGUCGAUACGGGCAUGACUGGAGUUCGGCAGGGGAGACUGGAAUUCCUGGUGUAGCGGUGAAAUGCGCAGAUAUCAGGAGGAACACCGGUGGCGAAGGCGGGUCUCUGGGCCGAUACUGACGCUGAGGAGCGAAAGCGUGGGGAGCGAACAGGAUUAGAUACCCCAGUAGUCC
RNAcentral lists this ribosomal RNA (431 nucleotides) under uncultured Pseudonocardia sp. Its description in RNAcentral is "bacterial SSU rRNA". It matches the Rfam family "Bacterial small subunit ribosomal RNA", at positions 354 to 796 of the family's 1533-position model. Lineage: Bacteria; Bacillati; Actinomycetota; Actinomycetes; Pseudonocardiales; Pseudonocardiaceae. The record is from RNAcentral.